Molecule: ribosomal RNA, 778 nt
Filed under: Pterostichus bellatrix
Lineage: Eukaryota; Metazoa; Arthropoda; Insecta; Coleoptera; Carabidae
Description: partial 16S rRNA
Rfam family: Bacterial large subunit ribosomal RNA (bases 1-551)
Source: RNAcentral
GCCCACUGAAAUUUUUAAAUGGCCGCAGUAAUUUGACUGUGCAAAGGUAGCAUAAUCAUUAGUUUUUUAAUUAAAAGCUUGUAUGAAGGGUUGGACGAAGUAAAAUCUGUCUCUAUUUAAAUUAAAUUAGAAUUUAAUUUUUAAGUUAAAAAGCUUAAAUUUUAGUAAAAGACGAGAAGACCCUAUAGAGCUUUAUAUUUUGAUUAAUAUAUUAAAUUAAGAUUUAUUUGAGUUUUAUUAAUUAAAUUAUUUUAUUGGGGUAAUAGGAAGAUUAGAUAAAUUCUUUUUUAAGAUUAACAUUUAUUUAUGAUAUUAAUGAUCCAUUUUUAGUGAUUAUAAGAUUAAGUUACCUUAGGGAUAACAGCGUAAUUUUUUUAGAGAGUUCAUAUCGAUAAAAAAGUUUGCGACCUCGAUGUUGGAUUAAAGAUUAAUUUAGGUGUAGAAGUUUAAAUUUUUGGUCUGUUCGACCAUUAAAUCUUUACAUGAUCUGAGUUCAGACCGGUGUAAGCCAGGUCGGUUUCUAUCUUUAUUACAUUUAAAUAUUUUAGUACGAAAGGACCAAAUAUUUGAUAUAUUUAUAUUAAAAAUUUUGAAUAUUAUUAUUGUUUUGGCAGAUUAGUGCAAUAAAUUUAGAAUUUAUUAAUGUAAUUAUAUUACAAAUAAUACUUGUUUUAUAUAGAUUUAUUAUUUUCUUUAAUUUGUAUAUUAUUAUUAUUAAUUUGUGUUUUAGUAGGAGUUGCUUUUUUAACUUUAUUGGAACGUAAAGUAUUAGGUUAUA